CUUGAUAUAGCUCUGUGUCUCUUUCUGUCACUCUGCUUUUUAAGUAGAUGAAAUGAAAAAAAAAAAAAGUUUUAAAAAGGAUGUGCAAAUCUGCCUUGUCAGUGAAAGUUUCCCAAGAAAUCAAAAGGGUUGUCUUAGGUGACUGUUAAAGCAGCAUUUAAGCCAAGAGAGGCUUAGGUUGGGAGGAGAAAAAAAGACAUGUUAGGUGGCAUGAAGUAGCUUUGGAUGUCUUUUUAAGUAAAGUGAAAGCCUUUUCCAGGAUGGUUAAAGCAAUGCUCUUAUGAGAGACAUUGACUUCAAAGAGGGUUCUUCUACUAGUAAUUAUGGGCUGGUUUGGCCUCUGAGUUGCUUAUGCGACUGAAUGUAGUCUGGAUUUCUGUUGCCUUCCUUCAUUUGUUCAGUGGCAAAGGCUAGAGAGUUGGGUAGGUGUACAGCUAGCUAAUUAAAA
Ochotona curzoniae (black-lipped pika) is the source of this 448-nucleotide long non-coding RNA. RefSeq lists it as uncharacterized. Lineage: Eukaryota; Metazoa; Chordata; Mammalia; Lagomorpha; Ochotonidae. The transcript is spliced from 2 exons. The record is from RefSeq and is a predicted model, not a curated record.